Molecule: long non-coding RNA, 3085 nt
Filed under: Vitis vinifera (wine grape)
Lineage: Eukaryota; Viridiplantae; Streptophyta; Magnoliopsida; Vitales; Vitaceae
Description: long non-coding RNA (VVIN_LNC001662)
Source: RNAcentral
UCAAAGUUACGAAGAUAGGGAGAUGGGAUGGUGCCAUCCGGAUCAAAGCGAUAGUGCCGGAAGAGUUCUGCGGACAUGUGGUAGGAGCUCCCUAUCAUGACGAGAAGGAGCUCCAAGUACCUUAUUUUUGGGGCGGGGAACCAUGGGUGGAUAGUGAAGGAUUUGGAGUUUUGGACAUGGAGCUUGAUGUGAUUAAAGAGGUGCCACAACCCAAUGAGAAAGAACCCUAGCCCUGGAAAAAAGUGCCCUAUCAUAGAACUCGCCAUGUGAGCUAGAAAGAACUACCAAAGUGCCCUAAAACUCAGUUUUUAUGCUUUGAGGAAGACGUGAGAGGCUUGUUUGAGAUGGGGUUUUGAAGGGGUUUGGUCUUUGAUAUGGGAUUAGGGAGUUCUAUACUUCUAUUUCAAUUUGCAGUGCUCAUUAGGGUUUGAAGAAGAAAAGAGAGGCUUGUUUGAGAUGAGCUUUUGAAGGGGGUUUGAGGGGUUUUGGACGGGGUUGAUGAGGAGUUCUAUUUCAAUUUGCAGAGCUCAUUAGCGUCCUGCAUUGUAGGUGUGCCUUGGGAAGUAGGGGUAUUUAUACUUGAACAGUGAACAUGGCUGCCUUUUCUCUUUGAGGUAAAGAAUAUACAGUAGAAUGGUAGGGCAAUCCUAUUGGAUUUGAUUCAACUAAAUACUAAUUUUCAUGUACCCAUUUUGUUUAUGGAGAGAAAUAAUUUGUUUGGUAGAAAAGAAUUAGCAACACAUUAAAGAAAAUUUAGAAAAUGGGUUUUUAAAGGAAGAAAAUAGUUUUAAUUAUUGGCCCAUCAUUUGGUUUGUGGAGAGAAAAAUAAUUUGUUUCAUAGAGAAGAAUUACCAACACAUUAAAGAAAAUUUGGAAAAUGGGUUUUUAAAGGAAGAAAAUGGUUUUUAACUAUUAGUCCAUCAUUCUCGAUAUAAUUAUUAUGACCUAAAAAAUCGAUGAAUCCCUAAUUUGUAUUAAUCUUAGUCUCAUACAUGGACAAAUGAUGAAAUCCUAGAUUGUAUUAGUCUAAGUAUUACUUAAAAUAUAGUACAUUAAUAACAUAAUAAUUUUUUCAAAAGCAGGUAUCUUAAAUGUUUUAUAUAUCCUAACAACGUGGGCAAAAAUAGUUUGUAACUCAAUUAUCAAAUAGAGCAUUCUCAUCAUGAUCUUCAUCACUCACGCAUCAUCACGGUUUCAAUUUUUUUUUUUUUAAUACUGGAUUGAGCCUCAAUAUGUCAUGUAACAGUAGUCAUUUAUUCCAUUUUCAGAGCACAAGUGGCUUAGAAUAUCCACCAAUUUGGGGUUUAAGGCAAGGGGGCACCGCAUUUGGGUGUUGCUUUUCAUUAUAAGAAACGUUAGCAUAAGAAAGCUAGGUACGUACCCUUGGAAAUUGAUUGAUAACGUGUAGCCUUGGUGCAUUAUAAUCAAUUCAAAAGUUCAAUUAACAAUUUAGAAUUUUAGGGUAUCUGGUGGUAUGGUUUCAAGAAUUUAUUUCACACUCUGAACUUGAUUGAAACUCUCAUGCACGGUAAAUUAAUUUACAUGAUUUUAAAGUUAUGAUCUCAAAACAAGAGAACAAAGAAACUUGAAUCAAUAAAAAUAAUUGAAUAAUUACAUAGAUCGCGACAUGAUUUCAAGAAACUAAUACAUAACUUUCCAAAUAUUGCUUAUUGUUUCAACACACAUUGGAACACAAGUGAAAUCACCCAAAUUAGCUCAAAGCAAUUCAUGCAACCCAAACAACCUCACAUCAAUUUCCCUCAAAUCAAAUUCAUUUUCCCUCUAUUCCUUGUUUCCACUAAGCCAACAUUAAUCAUUGCUGGCCUAAUAAUUCAACAAAGAAUAAUGGAAUUCCCACCAAAUUAAUUAUUAACAAUUUAUAUAUAUAUAUAUAUAUAUAUAUAUAUAUAUAGAUAUAUCUUCCUUAGUUAUCUUGCUCUUCUCCUACAACCCAAGAUCAUCAUCGUCAUCAUGAUGUUCCACUCCUUUCUCUUCUUUCUUCUCCCAUGACAAGUUCUUGACCUUUUUUCCAUAAGCGUCAACCAAAAACAAGUAAAAGGACACUGAAAAUAUCAUGAUAGCAAUAAGAUACCAGCUGAACUCUAUGUUUAUCAGCGCUUUAGCACGAUGGAGCGACUCAUCAUCAUGGCAGCGAGCCUCCUGGUGACCACCCUCAUCCCAUAAAAGAGAGCACCCUUUAGGGAUAAAGCCUGGAGUCCAAAGCAUAACCCCUGUGGCCAUCAGCCAAACCCCAAGGAAAAGUAUACAAAGAGACCUAGAAAAACCAAGUAUAAAGCUCUUGGGAAAGCCUAUUGCCAUGAGACUAGUUGCCAUGGAGACAAGCGUGAGCAUCUGCAGAAACAAAUGGUAUUGUCCUUCCAGGCCGGCGUGGUCGGUGGAGUGAAGGCGAAACAUGAGUAACUGCUGGCCGAGGGCUACGGCAGCAAGGAGCUGAGUCAGGCCAUACUUAGCCUUAGCGGCAACAAAAUCAAGGACAAUGGAAAAAGAGGUGUAAACGAUGAAGGUUAUGGCGAUGGAGGCGUGCUCAAAGUUACGUAGAUAGGGAGAUGGGAUGGUGCCAUCCGGAUCAAAGCGAUGGUGCCGGAAGAGCUCAGUGAACACGUAGUAGGAGCUCCCUAUCAUGAUGAGAAGGAGCUCCAAGUACCUUAUUUUUGAGGCGGGGAACCAUGGGUGGAUAGUGAAGGAUUUGGGGUUUUGGACAUGGAGCUUGAUGUGAUUAAAGAGGUGCCACAACCCAAUGAGAAAGAACCCUAGUCCUGGAAAAAAGUGCCCUAUCAUAGACCUCGCCAUGUGAGCUAGAAAGAACUACCAAAGUGUCCCUAAAACUCAGUUUUUGUGCUUUGAGGAAGAAGAGAGGCUCGUUUGAGAUGGGGUUUUGAGGGGGUUUGAGGGGUUUUAGAUAUGGGGUAAGGGAGUUCUAUACUUUCAAUUUGCAGAGCUCAUUAGCGUUUGAGGAAGAAGAGAGAGGCUUGUUUGAGAUGGGCUUUUGAAGGGGUUUGAGGGCGUUUUAGAUGGGGUUGAUGAGGAGUUCUAUUUCAAUUUGCAGAGCUCGUUAGGGUCUGCC